This is a long non-coding RNA of Sphaeramia orbicularis (orbiculate cardinalfish), 186 nucleotides long. RefSeq lists it as uncharacterized. The transcript is spliced from 3 exons. The record is from RefSeq and is a predicted model, not a curated record. Lineage: Eukaryota; Metazoa; Chordata; Actinopteri; Kurtiformes; Apogonidae.
AGAACAAACAGGUCAUGAGGUCAAGGGGUUACAAAGAUGGCAUUGUUUGGAUGAACAACACAAUUUUUACACUUAAUGGUUUACAAAUUUGUCUCACAGGAUAUGUAAACGUGUCAUUUUUCCCAAUGUUCUUCAUCCAGUUCUUUCUGCAGUUGUAUUGUAUGUAUGUGAUGAGAUAUUUUGACU